This 505-nucleotide long non-coding RNA is filed under the name Anthonomus grandis grandis. Its description in RNAcentral is "uncharacterized LOC126749657". Lineage: Eukaryota; Metazoa; Arthropoda; Insecta; Coleoptera; Curculionidae. The record is from RNAcentral.
GGGUAUACCCGAAAAAUGAAAAAACCCAAACUUUAAAGGUCGAUAUCUCAGCUUCUAUGGGAGCUAUCGGGAAAAUUCCGACGGUUUUGUCUUAGUUUCGUCAUUUUGAAUUCAACGAGACCAUCCGCAAGGUCGCAGCUCUUACGAUAGCCGAGAUAUGGCAUUUUUGAUGCCCAUUUUUGGCCUCAAAAACGGACGUCGAAAACGACUUUUUUAGGAUUUUCAAAGUGCUCUCAUUCCCUUAGUUCUGCUCGGAUCCUGUUAUAACCCGGUGUUUUCGUAAUCUAGGUGACCCAAAUAACACGCUGGUAUACUUAGUUUGAUUUUGAAAAAAAUCAAUUUUUGGUGAAAAAAUUCGAUACGGGGGGGUAUAUCCGAAAAAUGAAAAAACCCAAACUUUGAAGGUCGAUAUCUCGGCUUCUAUGGGAGCUAUCGGGAAAAUUCCGACGGUUUUGUCUUAGUUUCGUCAUUUUGAAUUCAACGAGACCAUCCGCAAGGUCGCAGC